UUUCAUUUGAAACAAUGGAUGAUAUUCUGAUCUAUGGAUUGCAAAACUAAUGUGUGGUGGAAGGAUCCUGAUGUGGAUUGCCUGAAGCCCAACAAUUUCAAUAUGCAAACUUUCAUACAAUUAUCCAUUGCAAAGAGAAUUAAAGAAUUUUUCAUUUCUUUUCUGAAAAAUGUUAGUCCAACUUUCUCAACCAUUUUCCCUAAAUUUUGUCACUCAUCCACACUGUUAUGUUUGCAUAGUACAGCACAAAGAAGAGUUUUUUAUAGUCUUAAAUUAUCUCGGCUUUUUACAUUUUCAGAUGAAUAAAAGUGGGAGCUUCUUUGAAUUAA
Molecule: long non-coding RNA, 329 nt
Filed under: Androctonus crassicauda
Lineage: Eukaryota; Metazoa; Arthropoda; Arachnida; Scorpiones; Buthidae
Source: RNAcentral